UUGCAAACCAGGCUAGCUAACGCUUGUGGAAUCGAGUCCGAUCGAUCCGGUAAUCAGUUCAGCAUGGUCUGAGUGGGGAGCAGGAUCUUGGAGUCGAAGGUGGCGGUGGAGUUGAGCAUCCAGGUGUAGAACGGGUGGAAGACGACGGACGCCGGGCAGCUCAGCGUCGCCGGCAGUUUGGGGCACUUGAUGAAGGUCUUGGCGUCCGUGUCCACGCAGAGGUAGACCUGGUACAGCUGCUUCUUGCCGAACGGCCCGUCCCGGCACUGCAGGCCCGGCUCGACGCCCAGCUUCGCGGCCACCGCCGCCUUGAUCCUCGCCGUGUUGUACAGCUUGUAGUCCGGCAGGAUGCCCUGGUCGGCGAGGGCGCCGAGGAUGUCGGCCUGCUUCCUGAGGCUGAGCGCCGCCUUGAAGUAGUCCAGCUGCUUGAGGCCUGAGCAGACGCCGUAGUUGUCCCAGGCGCUCUUCCACGCGUUCACGCCGUCGGUUGGCGGGCACUUGAGCCUGAUCCAGUAGUGGUUGAUGUUGUUCUCGAUCUUGUCCAGCUGAUCGUACGUGUUCCAUCAAUCGACGAUGCAUGGUGGUUGAUUAAUUAAGCAGGUUUAUUAAGUUUAACAUAUACUAGACAGAGAGUGAGUGUGUGUGAGAGAGGUGAGUUAAUUAAUUAACCUUUUUAGCAUCGAAGGGGCUGCCGUUCCUGCAACGGACUAUGGGCUUGUUAAUGGACACGUCGAAGGUUUGGAAGAACUCGACGAAGAAAUCCUCCGCCGGGUAGCCGUACUUGGGCACGCAGCAACCAUUGUCGCUGUCCUCGCAGUAUGCUCCAGGCCACUGUGCAUACACAGCAAUCCAUCCAUCGAUAGAUUUAGCUAGGCAGCUUGCAACUAAUGAUUUCACUGGCCUACGUAGGAUUUAGCUAGGAAGCUCUCCAUGAAGAUGACAUAUGAAGUCAACAAAUACCAGUUCUGUAAUGUAAAUUGAUUUAUCUAAUAACCACUUUGCGCUCGAGUGUGCACCCAAAUAUUACCGUUUGUACAAAAUGCCGUGUAAAACUAAAACUAUAUAAUAGGCUGUUUUGGGGCUAAUAUAUGAAAUCAGGUGGGGAACACCUCCUCCCGUUGACUUUCAAAAAAAAACAAUAGCAAAACGGAAAAACAACCCGAAUCGAGUCGAUUUUAACCUAUAUAAAUAGGGGUGUUGUAGUUGAAAAGAUAACUUUUGGCAAGAUAAUAAAAUGAAGAUUUUCUUUAAUUACCUACCCAUUAUUCACACAUUUGCCUUGUCUUUAUUUGGGUUUUCUAAUUUGAAUAAUCCGUUUGACGAUUGUCUUGAGGGAAAAAAAAUCAAUGGUAAUCUUUUCUGCAGGUUCUUUUGAUAUCUGUGAACGUACUCUCUUCGUCUCAAAAAUAAUCCAAUUUUAACAUUCAAAUAAGCUCAAAAAAACAUUGAGAUGUUGUAAAAAAAAUGUAAACUUUAGCUUACAAUUAAUUUAUUGGGUCAUCAACUCUUCGUAUGCUGUCAUAAAAAAGAGUGGUAUACAGUUGCAUGAUGACAACGAAGUUUAUGGAUACAAUAAUUUGUCUUGGUCAAUCCAACACACAGGGAGAGUAAAAAGAUUAGAGGCAACACACCAUUUUUAUAUUAAUCAAAAUAGCUAGUCUGCAACUUAUUACUUUUGUUGUACAUUACACGGUUCUACAGUAGAACAAACAAAUCCAAAAAUGACAAUUUAGCUUCAUAUAAAUGCACUUUGAAAUGUAGCAUCAGGCACGCGAGUGUGCUUAGACCUUGUAAUGGAAGAGAAAUAUUACAUAGACAAAAAAUAAUAAUUGUAAUUUUGUGAUUGCAGAUAAUGAUUCAGUCAAGAAAAGUAAACUGUCUACGAUCAUCAGAUUUAGCAAUAUAUGUUAGUAGACUGUUAAUCUUGUGCACGAGAUUAAGCAUUUGAAAAGGUUCAUACCAUGAGGAUAAGGUAAAAGAAAUCAAAGGGCACCGCAUUGGCAGCUGCCAGUAAGCCAAGGAUUAGGCUCAACACGAUCGUUCUGCGGCCUCCCAUCUCUGCUAUUUUGGCAACGGUUAAAGGCUGUUUGCUGCUGGCUGCCUGUUCAAGCGAUCCUGUAGGUGGUAUUUAUAGUGAGGAGGUCGAUUAUCAUGGGCGGAGCAGAUGAGCAACAUCCUCCAUACAAGUCGACCUCAAAUGAGUAACGGCCCGCCAAUAAUUUUUCUCUGUUUAAUCAUAUAUACUUUUGCUUGAAUAUUUGGUUAAUUUGUUCAAUAAGAUCGCAAAAACUGUUUGUCCUAACCUCUAGCAUAGUCCUAGGAUGAUAGAGGUUGUAAAGAAUCAUGUGUCCAUAUUUACGAUCAUAUAUGGUUUUGUAGUGAUUUAGAUGACAACACGAGCACUACAACUAGGUUAUGUGUUAGACAUGCUGUAAUAGGUUCUAGGGAUGCAAUAGAAGAAGUGGUGUAAAGACUGACAAAAAAAUAUAGUUAAAAUCACGAAGUGUGUAAAGUUUGCAAGUGUUGGAAGGUCCAACGACAAGGAAUUAAUAUCUAGCGGAUAAUUAAAUGCCAUCUAAUCCAGUGGUGUUCUACACUAUGCAAUUGAGAGCACCAUAUGACCCAACAAAAUUACGACAGCAAGGACAAACUACGGCCUAAUAGUGAAUAGUGCUAUAGACCUUAGGGUAAUAUUCUCUACACAAAGCACAAGACAAUGAAUAGUACACAUAGUUAGGUCUUUGCUAACCCAAUUCACCACUUCCCUUGGUUGCCACUCAAGUCCAUUAUUGGUAUGAAUACCCUCUCAUCAUUUUUAUAGAAGGUAUCAAAAGUAUAACUGUCAAACUUGGAGGGUUGCGUGGCUGGGUUCUAUUAUAAAAAAACCUAGAGGGUUGGGUAUAACACCCCCUUUCGUUAGCCUUGCUAUUGUUCUAAACUUAAAACUACUCCUUGCAUCCCAAGUUCAUCUAACCCACUCAAGAAUUGGCUAAGGAUAUGAGAAGAUAUUGAAAUAUCGAGUGCUUUUGAGCUUCGUUCCCACAUUUUUCUUCAUCAAGCCAAGUUUUCAACAUGUUUGUUACUCUUGGAUAUCUCUCUAAGGUUUGCGCGUGAGAACCCAAGCUUAUGGAGUGCCAUCAGACUUUUGUAGUUGAAUCUUGAGAUGUGGUAGGUGGACCGAUCUGUGCGGAUCCAAGAUUCCCGUUGCCGCAAGUGUAACAAGAAGGAGGGGGGAGAUGAGGCGCAUCGGGUUUCGGCUUGGUUUUCUUUGACCUCAUUUGAAAUAGUAUCUUUUUUGAAGGCAAAAACUGUGGGGGAAAUCCCCACAACACUUCAUUUUAAAAAUUUUGUAAAAAAGAGCACAAACAUACAACAAGAAUUUAACUAAAUGCAUCUAGCCAAAAACAAAAGGCUGAUCUAAGAUCAUCCUUGAACCGAAGGGAUUGAAAGAGGCACUGGUUUUUGAAAUUUCUGAACCAAAUGUCAAUGUGGACUGGUCCAUUAUUGAACACUUUAUCAUUUCUUAGCUUCCAUAUCUCCCAGGAGGCAAUGACCACUACUUCCAUAAAGAACGGGAUGUUUUGCUGUUGUCUCGCGUGUGCCAGCCUGGGGGUACAAACUGAGGCGCGUGUUCCACUGCAUACCAAUCUUAUCCCAACAACUCUUAUAGAAAGGACAGUCAAAGAAUAGGUGCAUGUUAUCUAGAGGACUAAAGAUCGUUUUCUUAGGGUAGUAAUCGAUGGAUAGAACAAUUGAGCAACUCAUCAUGUAAGUCAAUAUGUUUCCUUGUAACUGAUUAGGAACCUGAGUGUAAACUGAAUAGGAUCUGUAACCCUACUUUUCAUACUAUAAUAUAUAAGGUAGGGAGCCCUCAAUUGAUAUCAAGACAAUCUAGGCUUUCAUAGCUAGACAAGCACAUCAACACCCGUGUAAUUCUUAAGCAUACAAGAUAAGAGAUUGAUUCUUCCAUUUUAAGUUAUAAUUAUAAGUCAUUCUCGAUUUUCUAGGAACAUAAAUGUUAUAUAUUUGAAUAUAGUCAUUAAAAAAUAAUUAAAAAAGAUGGAACGACUUACUAUUUAGAAGGGAUAAGAGGAGUACAAUACAAUGCUCUAUCGGUCAACUCAUCGGAUUGUAUUGUAUCAAACCUAUGCAGCCUUGUGAAAAAUAUAUUUAUUAUGAAAAAUAUAUUUUAUAAUAUAUUUAAUGACCAGCAUAAAUUUUUGUAUUUUUUAUAAGUUUAGUCGGACAAAAAAAUGACAUAAGGUCUCUAGGAUUUAUUUAUUUAUUAUUUUUUUAGAGAAAAAUUUAUUUAUUUAUUAGAUAGACAAUGGACCCGAUCUCGCGGCCAGAGGGCCGGCCCACUGAUCGACGCAGACGACAGGGAUAAGGUGUUACAAUCAGACGGGCCCAACCCGUCGCAUGCAUUGUGCGUCGUCGACUCGUCGUAUAUAUAUAUACGGGACGAGGAUAUUCGGCAACGUGCUACAAUGCACGUGAUAUAAUACGCGCGUCUCGAUCUGGUCGGCACGUAACGCCAGCGUACGUCUCCAUGCGUGUAUACGUACACAAGUGGCCGAACGAAAAGAGCGCGGACAAACCGGACAUCAUCGUCUCACUGUGUGGUUCCUACUAGCUAGCCUAUAUAUCUAGCACGUGUAGCUAUACCACACCACCGUAUCCGUAUGAGACGAGGCAUUUCGUCAUUCGAGUCUCCUCGUCGAUAAUUAACGUGCGUGUCGUCGUUGUCGUCCUGAUCUGCUCUCCAAUUGUGCGGAGGGAGGAGCGCGCAGCGAGCUCUGCUGCAUGCAAGUGCACACGAGACACGAGCCUUUUUUUUUUUUUUCUUUUUUGACUACACGAGACGAGACACGAGCUAGCAGGGGGCCGGGCCGCGCCGGAGAGGACAUCAGGGUCAGGCACGCGAUCGAUCGAGACAAGAGGACACGAGAGGACCAGCUGGUUAUAGCACAAGCAGCUAGCUAGCUAGGGCGUGAAACGAUAAUGAAAGGUGCGUCCGUGGACGCGCACGAUCGACUCGUCGCAGCUAGCAUGCAUAUGCGUCGACGACGACGCGGCGGCGCCCGGCCCACCCGCAUGCAUCUGACAAAUUAUACUCGACGCUGUGCAACAGCAACCCUGUCAGUAGCGGAAGGGGGAGGACAAUAAUAAUUCAGUCUGCGUACGUACGUGGGCGUGGGCGUGGGCACGGCUGGGCACGCCCAACGAUCGAUCGUCCUGCGACCGGCCGGCCAGCCACGCACGUCGAUCGGAUCGAUCGGCCGGAGUCGGUCUCUAGCUAGGAUAUCGCCGCCGAACAAGGUGACAAGCCAUGCCACGACGCAUAGUACGGUUUCUCGAUCAGUACACGCUGUUUGGACUGUUUACAUAAUUCUAGCAAUAUAUGCUCGCGUCUUAUAUAUUGAAGAAAGAAUCAAAAUUUCUUUCUUUCAUUCAUUUUUCACUCUUGGCCGUCCAUCACCUCACUUCUAUCCUUUUUCCAUGUUCGUUCAUCCCUCAUCCCUGCCUUUGGUCAUCGUCUCUCACUCUUAGGCCUUGUUUAGUUCUCAAAAAAUUUUGCAAAAUUUUUCAGAUUCUCCGUCACAUCGAAUCUUUAGACGCAUACAUGGAGUAUUAAAUAUAGACGAAAAUAAAAACUAAUUGCAUAACUUGGUCGGAAUUGACGAGACGAAUCUUUUAAGCCUAGUUAGUCCAUGAUUGGACAAUAUUUGUCAAAUACAAACGAAAGUGCUAUAGUGCCUGUUUUGCAAAAUUUUUUGGAACUAAACAAGGCCUUACUCGUCAUGCUUUGAGUUUGCAAUUGCAAAGCAUUUGUUGCCAUGCUACUCAUGCAAUAGCCAAGUCAUUUGAGCCCGUUCGCGCCAUGACAGUGAAAAGGCUUUCAAUUAUGGAACCUCCAUAUUACUUCAACCAUAAAACUAUAAGACAGUUUUUGUAACACCAAAGCAUUUUAAUCCACAUAGAACUAGCCGGUGCGCGUACACUUCUUGUGCCCUUUCCAAACAUAAUUCUAAGUUGAUUCAUCACUACUUUAAACAUCUGUUUCACAUUGUGAAGCUCAUCGAUCGUCUCAUUGCCAUCAAAGGAUUUCUUGUUUCAGCGGGACUCACAUAACUCAUCUUCUUGCACUAUAUAUGACACACAAUAUUUUCCAAAACCAUCUCAAAUGAAAAACUCUUGUUGAGCACUUGUGUCUCCAUAUGAGGCCACCUGAAAAAUUCUAAAUUUGAAUUAUAAGAUCUAAGAACUUAAAACUUAUAUUUGGAUUCUUAAAUGAUUUCAAAUAUAAAAAUCAUCAAUGACAUAGUUUUAGGUCAUGUCAACUACAUAGUUUUAGAUUUGCAAUUUUAAAGUUUGUCUUCAUUCAACCUCAUAUGAAAAAAAUAAAAGAAUAAAAGAGAGCAAAGAGACAACCAAUUUUUUCGUGCGGUAUCGGGUAGUUGCCACUACCCCCUAAUUCGCAUUGGAGCACCAAUGAGUCGCAAAGACUCGAUUACGCUCCCUUAAGUCAUGAAGUUUAAGUCUUCACUAGUCAAUACCCAUUCUACUCUCCGGAUUGCCAGGUUUCAAACUGAGCAAACCAAUAGGAGCCUUCCCACAAGGUCACUUAGUCCUUCAUUGGGACAUCUAGGUGUUCACCAAGAGUAACAAACCUUUAGUAGCACCUUAAUGAAAACCAAGCCAAGAACACUAAGUACACUCUCGCAGCUUGCAAUAUUGACUUGGAUGGCUCCCAAAUCCUUCAUAAACUCCCUCUAUACGUGUGCCGCACCUGGGGGCUAGGGUGAAAGAGCAUCACAAAAAUAAUUUAGAGAAUGCACACAUAUAAGGUGUGAAGGCCCAGUUGGAUGAUCCAUUGUGCUCUAUCCAGGUGCACUAGAUCAUAUGGUGAUCCUAUAUGGGUAAGUUUCCUAACAGUCACGAGGAAUAUGCCAAAAUAUGCCUCAUCAAAUGACCCACUGUGGGUUAGAUCGACACCAUUGGAUCAUACAAUUUGGCUACUUGACACAUAACCGAUGUUCACCAUCAUCGGAUUAACCUUGACCUUUUGUGAGAGGCGGAUCACUUGCCCACCUCGGUUAAAAUUACAGUAGUAGGAUCCACGGGCGCACCAGAUCAUAUGGUGAAACAUAGUACCUUGUCAUAAAUCUACUUCUACUCAGGUACUAUACCCCCUUAUUCCUUAUCAUCGAUUGUUUUGGCUGGCCAGCAAUUAGGAUUGCCCUAUUAAUUAAAUUACCCAUGGAAAAUUUAGAUUAACUUACUUACUAGUGUAACUAUAUAUUAUAUCAUGUAGGUACCAUACUAAGAGUCUAAUAUUUGUGUAGGUUUUCUCUCUUUUUUUAACUAGCAAACAUAUAUUUGUGUUGCAACAAGAUCUUCAACUUGUUGCGUGGCUGCUGAGACAACUUGUGGCUUCGAGAUAGCCAUAUGUUUCCAUUCAUCUAGGAAUUGAACUCCGACUUCGUACUAUGUUUGCACGUGUUGCUCUAACUGGUAUGAGUACGAGAGGUUAGAGAUUUAUUGAGAUCCAUCAUGUCACGUGUUUUAUUUCGUCUUGGGAUCAAACUCACACCACGCCCGAACACUUGACUUGUGUAUGGACAUGUGAGAGAGUGGUGGACCAUGGAAACAAUUUGUAUUUCAAUUCUUUUGGAAUUGGACUAAUACACUUCUCUUACUCGUAUUACACUACUCUUACAUGUAUAGGCACAGGAGAGCGACAUUGAUUCCAUGGAUCCCCAACGAAUGAUUAUGAACAAAGAAACAUUUCGCUCUUUAAUAUUAGGAAAUAGAAAUAGAAUAGACGAUUGGAAAGGCCACCGGGUAGCUCUCAAGGUUUAUUUCCUUAAUAUACAGGUGGAAAAAAGGUCGAAUAAACAAAGCCGCCACACUUAUUCGCUGGGCAUCACCGUGCAUUGCCCAGAUCGAGCGAGUGAGGAUCAAGGCAGAAAACAUUAUUAUUCCAUACGCACGUCACUGAACGCACGCAAAAACUGACGAAAUUAAAGACGAGCUAGGUAGAUCAUGGAUGAUGGAUCGUCGGCGGGCGGUGGCUCGAUCCGGCAACGACGAAACGCAAACUCACGAAAAUGCAGAGGGAUCGACGAUCGCAUCAGAGAUCAGUUGUCCAUGGCGAGGCCAGGCAGCACGAAAGGGUCGGCUGAAUCGUAGAAGUCGGCGGACUCGUCGCUGAGCUGCUGCUUGAGCAUCCACUUCUUGUAGGGGUGGAAGAGGACGGAAUUGGAGCAGGUGUACUUGGCCGGCGCGGGGCAGUCGAUGAACGUCCCGUUGCCGUUCGCGCAGAAGUAGAGCUGGUACAGCAUGUACUUGUCGAAGGGCCCCUUGCUGCACUGGAUCACCGGCUCCGCGUUGAUCCCGCUCUUGAACACCUUCUUGAUCGCCUUCAACCCGUAGAGCUCGAAGUCAUCCUCGAUACCUGCAGCAAAAGAUCCAUGCAUAUAUAUGGGCCAGCAUCAGCUCUCGUAACAUAGAUACAGCAAGCUACUCAGCUCUGAAUCCGUUCACUUUAUAAGCCGCAAAUAAAUCAGCGAACAAUGCUUUUAGCCAUGACUUUAUUUAAACAAGCGAACAUGCUCAGUUUACCAUUUUGUUUUAGGCGAACGAGGGGGUUGAUCUUGCUACGGAAGGAGAGGGCCUUCUCGAAGUAGGCUUUCUCGUCGAGGCCGGAGCAGGCGCCGGCCUUCUUCCAGGCGUUCUUCCAGCUUCUCUGGCCGUUGUUGGCGGGGCACUUGAUGUUGAUCCAGUACUGCUCCAGGCCGAUGCCGGUAAUCUGUCGAGAUGGACAUUGCACACAGACACACACACACAUUAAAGGUACUACGGUGUCACACCUACGACGACAACACUAGAUGUGCAUAUAUAUGGCGAUCGAGCUGGAGCGAGAGUCUACGGACGUACCAGGUUAGGGUUGUAAGGAGCUUGAUUGCUGCAUUCCGUCAGUGCAGCGUUGGUGGUCGCGUUGUAGACGGUGAGGCCCGUUAUGUAGAAGUCGCGCGCCGGCGAGACGCCGGUCGUCGGCUUGCAGCAUCCAGCGUUGGUCUGCUCGCAGUAUGCUCCUGGCCACUGCGUGCGUGCGUACGUCCAUGAUCGAGCACACCAUCCAUGCGCAAAAUAGAGUUGAUCAGGGAAUUACGUUCAGCCAUUUUAUUAACGAAAACUAAAACAAAAUAAAAAAAAAAUAAAACAAGUUCCUGCAAGAUUGUACAGUGUGUCGUUCUCUCCUCGUACAUACGUCCAUGCCUAUAUAUAUGUGUGAUGACAAGGCCAGUGCGAUAAUUUGCCUCUCACCAAUCAAAUUAUCGUCCAAAACUCAGGAAAAACGGGCCAGUGGUCCAUGAGAAAUCUGCUUAUGGGUUCCACAUGUAUCGUCGUCUCCGGAGUUGUUCAUUUCACUUGUUAUUGUAUAUAGACUCAUGCAUAUUACAUAUUACAUUUUGAUCUGCAGAUUAAUUAAUAAUGAGAACGACAUCCGUGCACAUAUCCAUAAUCCAUGCAGGGUUUAGCCUUCUAUAAUAGUUAGCAGGACACACAAAUUUUAGGAUCAUAUAUAGGUUCUUGCCUGUUUUUUUCAUGCCAUUAUAACUGAAUUAACCUGAUAUAUAGUAAGACCUAUAUAUCUCAAUUAAUGAUACUAACAGUAGCUAGUACAAAAUACACAUAGUGACUGAAGGAAAUAGCUAAGCUCCCCGUGCGUACCAGAAGAGCAAGCUGGUAGUAGAUACCGGAGGAGUCAUCAGCAAUUGCGGGAGAAGCUACUAGCAGCAAGCCAAGGAGGCACAGGAGUGGGAUCCUGGAGGAAGCCAUAUGGAAAUGGAAUGCACCCCGGCCCUCGCUAGCUCUCACGAGACGAGCGCGACUCGCGAUCUACCACGAAUGGCACCGAUGAGCAUGGCCUCCAUCGCGUGGCUACUUAUAGGCAGACGAGAGCGCGUCCGCACCACAUUUUAUCUCUAUUCUACACCUAAAAAAUAAUACAAAAGAGGCCGGCCGCGCCGGUAUCGUCGGCUCACCCUGCUCAGCUCGUCCCUGGAUUUUUUUUACUCAACUCCACGAAAUCAGAAUCAGAUAUCAAAUCAAAUCGUUCUAAAUCUGAAUAAAAAAAAAGAAAAUAUCGAACUCAAUCAAAUAAAAACUGAAAAUGUAAUACAAGUCUGGUGCUGCAGCUAAACUUGAACUCGACCUUGCAUCGCAUGCGCGAGGGCUCGUGGACCACCAGACUUGGCUUACCUUAUAAAUAAAUUAUAUUAGGCUUGCUCUAAAACCUGCUCUCGCACAUGAUCCGAUCCGGUCGCAAACCCGAGACCUGUGGGGCAAAAAAACACUCUGUAGGCCUUGUUUGGAUGUAGUCGGAUUCGUAUCAAUCCACAUGUGUUGGGGUGGAUUGGAGUGGAACUUCAGCUAAAUUCCACCCAAAUCCACACCAACACACGUGGAUUGAGGUAAAUCCGACAACAUCCAAACAAGACCGUAUGAUUGAGAGAACCCAUGCAGUACUUAGCAGUCAAUUGUGCCUUGUCGUUAUCAAUGUGAAGCAGACCUAUUUUGUGUAUGGUUGGAGGAAUGUGGAGACAGCUUUAUAUUUUCUAUAUAACUAGAUUUAUAGAUUUCUUCAUAUGUUUAUCAAGCAUAAGGUGUGUUCAUGUAGUUGUACGUAAAAAUUCGUUAUCUCCGCGCUUCACUAAUAUUUGUGGGCUCUACGUGUUGUGCUCCUCUCUCAUCCAUUGCAAUAAUAUAAGUGCAAGCAUGUGGUACAGUACAAUGGUUGAUGAAAAUAAUCAUCCAUUGCAAACAUUUAGUUUUGGAGAGAACCCCACAGCAAAUUUAACGUGGGUAUACAGUAUUCCGGCAUCUACAUGAGUUAUAUAUUGAUCACUCAACCAAUUAAUCCUAGCUUAUUAUUAUGCCUUCACCAGUGGCCUUCUCAGAACUCAGAUCGAUCUUGUGAUGCAUGAGUUGUCAGCUGAGGAAACGAUGCCUUACAUCGCAGGGCAAUCGAACCAUGCAUGCAUGCUCUUUAGUCUUUAGGCACGAACCCAAUCCAAUUAAACUAGGAUAAGGUGCAUAUAUACUCAUUAAACAACCAGUGUACAAGGAAAUGUUAUUUACCAGAGGGCUGCACGAAUUCUUUUAUCAAGAGAGAGGAUAAUUUUUAUCUGGCCUAGGCCCUGCACAAGCGUUUGAUAUAUAUGUUGAAAAAAAAGGGAGAGGCAAUAACCAAAUCCAUCCUAUUCGGUAGACUUUUUGCCAUACAUCAAAGUAUCGAACCCACACCUCUGGAGAAGGUCUUACACCUCUAGUCAACAGGUGACGAAUAAAAGCUCUUAGAAAGCUCUCAAAACACAAACCAAGCAAGCCACCAAUUAUACUAAAGCAUUCUUUUUGAAACACUAUUGUGCAUUUUGAGUGAUGGGAGGCUAUUCUUGCAUAUGUAUUGUGUCUUUUAAUUUACAUGAGAUAUCACUACUACAAAAUUGUAUUUCUCAUCGAAAUUUACAACUUUGGCAUUGGUCGUUUCAUCAUCCGAGAUUGUUUAACAUUUGAAUUUCAAAACGCGUUAUACUUUUAGGACCUUAAAUAAUUUUAAAUAAGAAAAAUUAUCAACUACAAAGUUAUUAUCAUCGAGUAUACAAUUUUGGUUUUGGUCAAUUUUCCGUUUGAGGACGUUUGAAUUUUUUCUGAAAAUUUCAUAAUGUUAAAACUCCAAAUAUAAAUUUGGGACCACAAUAAUUUCUAAUAAAAAAGUGGGUUAACUACAAAGCUGUAAAUCUCAUCACUUUUUCAUCUGAGGCCGUUUGGACAAUUCGAAAAAUCUGAAUUUUGAUAAAUGUGAACUUCAGACAAUAUUUUGGGACUAUAAAUGGUUUAAAAUUGAAAAUUCAACAAGUAGAAGUUGUAGACCUUAUCGAAACUUACAACUCUAAUAUGAAGUUCGUUUCCAUCCAACUCAAUCUGAGAAAAAUAUUAGUUUUAUUAUACUGCAACAUAUAGUCAUCACCGCUAACACAUAAGCCAAACGGCAAAAAUGAUUUCAUCAUCAGAAAGUAACCCAGAUCAACAAUGAUGAUGGACUAUCUCCAGCGGUUUGUAACACGAACCGCUAAUGAUAAUUGUCUCCAUUUUCACUAACUGUUCGUAAUACGAACCAAUGGCUAACGGUUCAUAACAACACGAACCGGCAGCCAAAACGGCUUAGAGCAAACCGACGAUAAAAUUAGCGGUGGUGACGAUAAAUUAUGCAGUGGUGGAUGAUCGACCUUAAUUUUGAUCUCCUAGAAACAAUUUCAGUCAGUGCCGAGCUGCUCGGAUUAUUGCUACUGCGUCUAAAGAUACUUCCACAGAAGCCGCCAUUCGUUUGAGCACGUUAUUCAUUGCUGUGUACAUGCAGCAAGCAGCUAGGGCAUGAGUGCGACGCCUACCUUGUGAGCCACUCGUCUCGCGUUCGAUUGGAUAGCCAUAGCCUUGCACCGUGCACGUCUACCGCAGGCACACGACCGCACUGAGUAUGACCACACCAGCACCCCACCACCCCCCUGUAGUAUAUAUAGCCACGUGUUUAGUUCACGAAAAAAAAUUGCUAUGGUAUAUAUAGCCAUGUUUAGUUUGUCAAAUAAAAUUUUUUAUAUAUCACAUUGGAUAUAUCCAAAAAUAUUUAGAAGGGAUUUUUUAUACUAAUAAAAAAAGAAUUAAUUAGAUUUAGAAGAUUCGUCUUAUAAUUUAUAAUUAAAAAAUAUAAUUAGUUUUUUUUGUCUGUCUUUAAUGUUUCAUAUAUGUGUCAAAGAUUUUAUAAGACGGGCGUAAAGUUUUUAGUUAAAAAACUAAACUGAGUCCGACGAAAAGGACGUAGGAGUACGUAUUUUGCAGUACGACGCGACGUGAGGCGUGGCACCUACCGACCGGGCCACCCAAUAGACGUGGGCGAAACGACAUGUAGCCCAACAGCCUCGAUGGAUCGUUCUGCCAGGCCCACGUGCACGUCCACGUUGUGAAUGAUGAAGGAAUCCUCCCACAAUCGUCACUCGUGAGUCGGGACUCGUCAGCUUGGACCGUGAGGCUCACGUUACUGCAGCCCUGUUAUCUCCUAGCGGAAAGGAGAAUGAGGCAGAAAAAUGAAAAAUAAAAUUCAAAUGCUUUGAUUUCUCACUAUAUAAAGUUAAUAUUUUUUCUCGAAUAAUAUAAAGUCAAUAAUCUAAUUGAGAAUAAGAUUCAAACAUUCUUCAUGUUUUUUAUCUAUAUAGUCCAUAUUCUAAAUUACUAUCUAAAAUCAUUAUUAGAAUUUGAUCCAAACAAUGUCUAAGUUUGGGCCGCUCACCCUUUUGUUCAUGUGCAACUCCGUGGCUUUGUUAAGCAUGCCGGGGAGGGCCAGAGGGGGACACACUUUCUACCUUGCGAGCAUUCAGUUUCACUUUCACACCACGUACAAUGCAAAAGGCGCUUAGAUAGAAAGAGAAAAAUACUUUUGUAACUAAGCGUUUCUUUAUAACCUUAAUCUACAACGCAACACGUAUUUGAAGGCGCUUAAGUUCCGACUGUUACGUUGCAUGCAAACACCAGUAUCGGAGCCGGUCCAGGCGUUGAUGCUUCACGGAGUGGUGAAUCUAUUUUUAAGCGCCCGCUCAGGACUCCACCGUGGCAAAAAAAGCUAUUUAACGGCCAAUACCUGAUCAUAAGCGCCCAGCGUUGUACAAGCCCUAACUCGAAUAUCUUACCUCAUACCUCCACAACUUUGAAAUCAUUUAAAUUAGGUAUCUAGGUUUGAAAUAGUUGUAAUGUGGUUUCAUAAUUUUGAAGUUAAAAAUCCGAUAAAGUCCUGAUACGAUUUUUAAACCUAAAAAAACACAAGGCUUCUAAGAAAAUUGUAAAGAUAAAUCGAAACACAAGACACUGAUACAAAAUAUGUAGAGCUUAUGAAUAUAUAUAUAUAUAUAUAUAUAUAUAUAUAUAUAUAUGACACAUUUCUUCUACUCGUGCGUGUAUGUACUCGUACCUGCGAGUACAUGCACGGGAGAGUCGUCCAACCAGUUCUGAAACAAGAAACGUCGGAUAGGAAACGGAGAGGGUGCGGCCCGCCGUUAAGCUCUCGUAACGGGUUUGGGUAGAACCCAAUUGUUUUUGUCGUUUGCAAGCACAAAGUAUUCCACAUGCACGCGUAUAUAUGGGUACUUGUUGGUAUACACGUGAAUAUUAUUUAUUAAUUAUCUGAGAUGCAUCUGGUCGGAUAACUAUAUAUUAAUUAGCGGAGACCAUAUAUAUAGACAUAUUUGGACAUGUAUAUAUAUAUAUAUGUUAGUACAUGUACAUACUUCUAAGAUGGUUGAGUAUAUAUACAUAUACUUUUCUUCGUAUAAGAGAGUAUGCGUAUAUACCAUUUUACUAUUUUGACAAAUACAUACUACUUUUUGGUACGCACGUACGGUGUGCAAGACUGCAUACUUUUUUUAAUUUAUUUAUGAUUAUAUAUAUGGUGUGUUGUUUAUUGGUAGUACGUAUGAAUAUAUACUGCUUUGAAAGUAUGAGUGGAUACAUUCUUUUUUUUAAAAAAAUGAGUAUAUCUGCAUACUGCUUUUGAAUGUAAGAAUAGAUACUUUUUAUGAUAAAAAUGAGUAUAUUUGCAUACAUGUGCUAUAAGAAAAGUAUAUGCUAGUACUAUGUGUUUUUACUUUUGUUGAUAAAUGAGUAUAUGUAUAUACCUUUUCGACAUACAUUAUUGAUGAAAUGUGUACGUGGUAAUAUUGAGUACAAACAUGCAAGGAAUGUAACUGUAUGCUACUAUUGAGUAUCUAACAAAAGGAAAAUAUAAUAUUUUACUAGAACUCGAUCUAAUCUAAAAGUAUCGAGUGACACUGCUACAAAUAAUUAUGUGGAGUAAAUCAUGCUCUGUCAUCCUGUCCGGCAUUCUCUCGAAGCAUCAAACACCUUGAAAUAUUUAUCUGUCUGAGAAGUAAUGUUACAUUUACGAAUAAGAUUUAUCUGUCUGAAAGUAAUGUUACAUUCACGAAUCUAGGUAUCAGGUGAUACUCUAAUCUAAAAACAGUAUAUUUGCCAAGUGAUCUUCUCCAGGUAGAACUAUAGCCUAGAACGGAAUAGAUAAAAUCAUAUCCAUGAGUUCUGACGCAAGGGAAAAAACAAUAUUACAAACCGGUAAUAUGCAUAUUUGUCGACGACAAGUAUGAGAAGCAAAGCCCGCCGCCACCAGAACUUUAGAAGGGACAUAAACGCCUCAAUGCGAUAACAGCUAGAUUAAUGGAAUCAACUGUGCCGGAUCUACAAGCUGCAAAGGGAUUUGAUUGGAAUAAACAAAUCGAUAAUAACAGGAUAGAUUAGGACUCUCAACCAAACCUGGAUCUGUGUUCUUCACGAUUUUCCUGGUCGCCGCCGCUAGGGGAUGUCAUAGUCGGCUUGUUGUUGGGUGGGCCUCUCGACCAUGGGGGGCCAUCACCAUUGGGCGGGCUACGCCGGCGUCGUCCGUGCUGGUUGAGAGGAUGGAGGAGGGAGACGGCUCCAGGAGCGACCUUGGCGGUGGCGAAGCAAGAAAGCAUGAGGACGGCGGUGACAAAAUCCGCUAAUUUCGGAUCUCCCGAUGGCUGAGCGGCGACGGGGCUGGAUGAUGACCGUAUAUACAUAUGUUCCUAAUGGGUAACGACGGUGUGAUCCAAUAAGCAUGGAUGUCAUCGACCCGUUAGCUCCAGACGGCGUGCAUCGCGUCGUGGACUAACAAGCCGGAGUAGAUAUACGUGUAGAAGGGAAAUUCCCUAUAUAUAUAUAUAUAUAUAUAUAUAUAUAUAUAUAUAUAUAUAUAUAUAUAUAUAUAUAUAUAUAUAUAUAUAUAUAUAUAUAUAUAUAUAUAUAUGGAGAAUCUUUCACGAAAUUAUAUUAUCAUUGGCACUUACACUACACCCCUAUGAAGUGAUGGUAUCCGUGACACUUUGUGACACACCCAUGUGGGCCAGGGAUGGACCAAACUCAAUUCUUGGGAUACAGUUGAUUACUCGUUAGGUUUUGUAGAAAUUAAGUAUAUAUAGUGUAUGUUUCGUACCAUUAUCUAAAAACAUUCUAUAAUUUGUAUAUUCGUGGGGGAAAAAAGUUUGCUAGCCUAGUAGAUUUCUUUCCUCCAUCGCCUUAGCCCAUCAAUCCAUCAUUUUUAAAAGGCCCCCAUCUGCAUACUGCAAAGCAACAUUUUUGGCUGAGUUGGUCAAAUCCUUAGAGCAUCUCCAACAGUUUUAUAAACUACUCCUACUUGCUAUAAUUUAGCAAGUUGCUAUUUUCGGCCUCCGCACGCGCAUUUAUCCGUGCGUGUAUCCCUCGCGCAUCCGCCGCACAGGGGCUGUGCAGCUGCUGCUGCCGCUGUUGUUCUGCUGCUCUGGCUGCUGCUGUUAUGCUGCUCUGCCGCUCCUGUGUUGCCAUGAUGCCAUGACCUGCAUGCGUUGAUGCAGUGCUUCGUGUGCUCGGUCUAUUGAUGUGACUCUUGACGGUGCUUCCCAUCAUGCUGGUUGCAGCACCUGUGCUUCCCAUCAUGGGUCAUGUAUCCACCAUGCAUCAUGCAUAUAUGCUUCAUCAUGCAUCAUGACCCAUCAUGAUGUGAGCAGGAGCAAUAUUUCAUCAUGCAUCAUGUACCGUACUCUGAUUCAUAAAAUAUAAAUCCAAUGGACAGACCCAUAUACAGAUGGAUCCAGUAGAAUAUGAGCCUACUUUUUAAAUUUUACCAAGUUAAAAUAGCAAACUAUUGGAGAUACUCUACUUUUUCACUUGGUAUAUGUUUUAGCAAGUUGCCAAAUCACAAGAUUUACCAAGUGGAUUUUAGCAAACUAUUGGAGACGCUCUAAGAGACUCAAGCAAAUUGUUGAAAUGGUCAUGGUCGUGAUUGUUCAUCAAUUAACUUUCAUAAUAAAACAAUAUAGUGAGCAUCAAUUACAAGAAAGCCAUAUAUGUCAUUGUGUCUAGAUUGGUUUGCAUUUUUUAAUUCUAAAACAUGAAGGGGUUUCACUUUGAAAUUCUAAAUAUCCAUUUUCGAAAUAUUGGACCCACUCCUAAUAUUGAGUAGUAUGAUAGAUGAUGACAUGGCAAACCAAAUCUCGUGACACCAAUGAUCGUGAUGACGCCAUACUAUGAAGGUAGCCACUGUGGGCAUGCAAAGGCACAUGCAUCCACAACGAGAUAUUAUAUGCGCUAAGGAUUAAGCAGUGGAUGCGUCAUGCAACUAAUGAAGCAUCUUAAGGUACAGUCUCAUAGACAGUUAGAUAUUGCUCGAAGGGCAUCCAUCUAAUGUGACAUGAGAAGUUUGUCAAGGCUUGGAUCUUGGCUUUGUAGGGGAAAUAUCAAACUAGUGAAGCGAGAAAACCAAAUAAAAGAUAUCCAUCUUGUUUUGAAAAAUAUCAAUGGAAACGUAGGAAACUAUGGUGAACUAGAAUUCUAGAUGGACAAAUAUUUGUAUCUCCACUUUGUUUUGCUCUCUCAUUAGUUCUUACUUUUGAUCCAUGUUUCCCACUCGAUCUAAUUGGUUAUAUGUAUUUCUAAGUGUAUAUGAUUUUCAACUAUUAAUUGACUCAUCAAGCUCAUCUCCAUGUUCGGUUGAGCUAGCUAAGUUUAUUCUAUUUUCUGAAACUAGUCACGACACCAUGCUUAGGGAUAGAAAGCAAUCCAAUCUUUGAUUUCCUAGCUAGGUGGGAUGGAAUUUUUUUUGUUCCAUGGGGAAGAAAACAGGGAAUGAUUCAUUCCAUAUGUGGCGAGGGGGGACGGGGGAUGGUUCUCAGUCCCUCUUCCCCAUGUCUCUAUUUACAGUCCAUUUGCUCUGGGUCCAUAUAGCCUACCAAAAUAUCCUUUGCCCUACCCUAAAGGCCCCAACGGUCCAACACCAUCCCACGCCUAAGGAUGAAAGUGGGGCGGCGUUGAGCAACCCACCCCACGUCCACAUCAAUUGCAACUGUUAUGCGGGUUGCAGCCGAAGCCCACGUCUUGCCGCUCUCUGUCCGUGGGUUAGAGUGAUAGCCAGUAAAGUGCCACAACGCAAGAACUCCUUGUCCUCCACCGUUGACUCAAAGGUCUACUCCAAUCCCACAGACAUCUUCCUGCGCCUGUGGAGCUCGGACAUCGGGGCUUCUUUUGCCACAAGAUGACCAUGGCGCCAGUGUGUCCGUGCUUUCGGUGCCUGUCGUCAAGAAGAGGAACAUGAUGAUCAAGGAAGAGCCACAGGAGUUGCUCAUUUGUCUUAGGUAUGACUCCUCAGCACCAUCCAACGAGAGACGGAGGUGGCCGAGGCGUGGGAGGAGUACCAGAUGUUCUUUUGAGUUCGCCGGUGAAGAGCUGGGACAUAUCGAUGGCCGGCACGACGGCUUAUCGCUCUUCCCGCCGCUUGAUGUGCUUGCUUGACGCAUCCAUGGACAUGGCGUUCAAAGUGAAGACGUACCAAGCACCACCGAUAUCGUCGAGUUUGCCCUCUGCGGUUAUGCUGCCUACCUCAACUUCACUGCCUCCUCCUUGCAGUCGCAGAAGCACACCGCCCCCAUCCACAUCGGCUGCCCAAGCCACACCCGCACCCUCCGCGAUGCCGUCGUACCAGGCAGACAACGUCACAGCAACAAUGUAUGUGGGUUGCGGGUUUGCCGCUGGGAAUAUGUGGGUUCGGCAGUUCAACCCACUCUAAAUGGUCUGUCAUGGCAGUCCAGCAUGUUAGCAGCGGAGCAGCCCAGUGGGUUGGCGCCAUGGCCUGCCCCAACUUGCAUCCAUACCCAUGCCACUACUGGGCUUGCUCCUCUCUUCUCUACCCCUAAUCAAGUCGCUCCAAAAAAAAAAAAGGUGAGUUGCGCCCACCGAUAUUUUGCCCUGGCUUAAAGCACGGCCUUUCACAGCCACUUACCAGCCCAGCCCAGCCCACCAAACCGCAGGCAAGACGGACACAAACCCGAAAGAAACACGAAGACCAAGUAGAAACAGACCCUUUUCCUUCCCCUAAGCCCGCUGAACAAGAAAAGGCCCAGAUACACACAGCAAACCAGCAAAGGCACGACCACCACCGCCGGCCGGGGGAAGCAAGCUCAAACCCUAACCGCCGGCGACGCCAGCACGAUGGCCCGCUACGACCGCGCGAUCACCGUCUUCUCCCCCGACGGCCACCUCUUCCAGGUCGAGUACGCCCUCGAGGCCGUCCGCAAGGGAAACGCCGCCGUCGGCGUCCGCGGCACGGACACCGUCGUCCUCGGCGUCGAGAAGAAGUCCACCCCCAAGCUCCAGGACUCCAGGUAGCAAACCCUCCCUUCGAUCCUCGUACCAGAUCUCGCGAUCCCCGCCUCAAACUCAUAUCUCUGGCCCGAAUUUCUGUCUCCCCAGGUCCGUGCGCAAGAUCGCGUGCCUCGACACCCACAUCGCGCUGGCGUGCGCGGGGCUGAAGGCGGACGCGCGCGUUCUCAUCAACCGCGCGCGGGUCGAGUGCCAGAGCCACCGACUCACCGUCGAGGACCCCGUCACCGUUGAGUACAUCACCCGCUACAUCGCUGGGCUGCAGCAGAAGUAUACACAGAGUGGUGGAGUCCGCCCCUUCGGCCUCUCCACUCUCAUUGUCGGCUUCGACCCCUACACCGACAAGCCGGCGCUGUACCAGACCGACCCAUCCGGUACCUUCUCUGCUUGGAAGGCCAACGCCACGGGAAGGAACUCCAACUCUAUGCGUGAGUUUCUGGAGAAGAACUACAAGGAGACCUCCGGCAAGGAGACCAUCAAGCUUGCUAUCCGUGCACUUUUAGAGGUAUAUCUUAAAUAAAUUGAGUUUUAAAUUUAAAUUUCCUGCAAUUUACACAACAUGCUAUAAAUCUAAUGAAGUCUAGGUUUUGCCGAUGUUUUGAUUUGAUUCAAAUGUUUCUAUUCUUUCUGCUUAAGGAAUUUACAAUAUAACAGUUGUAGAGCAUAAUUAGCAUGAUCAGGGAUAACCAAAUGUGUUACUUUUCUGCCUAAGCCUAGUGUAAACCAAACAAGUUUUCAUGGCAACUAUAAUCUGGGUAUCCAUCUUUGUUCACCGCCUAUCAGGUCAUGUAGUUUCCACUUUUAUUAUGGAGUAAAUUGCAGGGCCGGUCCUUAAAGUAUUAUGUGGUUUUCAUCUUGGUCCUCAAACUAUGAAAUCGCACGUCUGACUCCCUAAUGUAUUUAAGUGAUCUCAUCUAGGUCCCCAAACUACGAAAUCGCACGUCUGACUCCCUAAUGUAUUUAAGUGAUCUCAUCUAGGUCCAAAAUACACAUAAGGAGGGUUAGAAGCUGACAUAGUCAUCCAUAUGGAUAUGAUUUAAGCACAUGACUCCUGAUUUAAGCCCACGCGUGCGGCCGCCGGCUCUCCCCUGCUCACAAUCACAGCGCCCGCGGCAUACGACCUGGUCAUGUAGGCGGCAAUGGCGGCUGGUUAUGCUGCCGAGCAGGGUGAGGUAGACAUGGGAGGGGAGGGGCUUGGUCUGCGGUCAUCGGUGAUACACUCGCUCGCGUAACCAGCCGUCAUUGUAACCUACAUGACCAGGUCGUAUAUCGCGGGCGCUGUGAUGGUGAGCAAGGGCAAGCCAGUGGCUGCACGCGUGGACUUAAAUCAGGGGUCAUGUGCUAAAAUAAUAUUCAUGUGGAUGAUCAUGUCAGCUUCUAACCCUCCUAUAUGUGUAUUUUGGAUCUAGAUGAGAUCACUUAAAUACAUUAGGGAGUUAGAUGUGCGAUUUCGUAGUUUGAGGACCUAGAUGAAAUCACUUAAAUACAUCUGGGAGCUAGACGUGCGAUUUCAUAGUUUGGGGACCUGGAUGAAAACCACGCAAUACUUUAAGGACCGGCCGUGCAAUUUACUCUUUAUUAUGUUUGGUGCUGGGAAUCAUAACAAGCUCUUGGAGCAAUAGUUUAACAAAUGAUAAAUCUAUUCCUGACUUGAGUUGUUUAUUGAGCAUGAGUUGCUUGAGGUAUCUCUGGAUUUGUCAUUCUUAAGGCAUUGACUUUGCUUCAGGUAUUUUAUACAUGGCCAAUAAGAUAUUAGCUAGUAAUGCCUGGUUUUCUUUUUAAAAAAAUGUGCAGAUUAUGUUUUCAUUAGAUCAUACAAAAAAGCAAACUUAACGCAAAACUGGAAUCAUAUCCAUUACAGUACCUCCUAUCAAAAACUAGGUAAAAACAUGGAAGAACUGAGUGAUGUUGCACUAGAUUUUUCAUCUGUACUGAAGUGCAUAGGAUAUUUUGCAUCUGUGAUAAAUGUUCACGGCAACUGCGGACUUAUGGAUUUCCUCUGUAUCAGCUUGUGUUUGUCCUACUCACCAUAAUUUGCAAAUUAGAUAGCAAAUGAUGUCGGAUUAUUAUAAUUAGCAUUGGGUGUGUACUAAGGUGAUUUUAGCGCCUCCCUGAUAUGUACCUGCUGCCCCCUGGGACCAAUUCAGCUCCCCCCUGAUAUCUAUCUUGCCCCUAUCAGCACAUUCAGCUCCCUCUCUUGUCAAAGAUUUUUUUUCUCAAUACUUCCAUCUUUUGACAGUUAAAAGUAAACUUAAUUCGGACUACACCAUUCUAGAUUUUUAUUGAAAAAGUUAGGAAAUUCCCUUUGUUUAGGCAAAGGAUGGACUGUUACCCAAUUGGUCCACUCCCUGCAUGGUAAAAGAAAACCUCAUUCAGGACCUAUUCAAAAUACCAAACUAUGAUUUAUAAUUUUACACCAUUUAAAAUGGUAGGGUAAGUGGGGGGCCUGAAAUCUCCAUAAGGCUGUCAAUUGGUAGGUGUAAAAAAGUUUUCAGUAUGCUAGGACGGUGAACAUUGCUGUGCUUCCACAGCUUGUACAAAUGAAGAUUUGUAAACGUACUCCGUCAAGUGCUCUUAUGCAUAUGAAGUUGUGGGUUGAACUGUGUAAUAUUGAUAGUGUCUACACCAGGCCAUGAAAUUACGCUAGUUCAUGAUGACUGAUUAUAGUAUUCUAUGGUUAGAACAUUUUCAAAUCCCUACUCUUUAGUCUUUAGUGGGAUGGUAUUUACUCUCUGUGUCAAUUUUUUGAAUACAAGAAUUCUUUUGCAGCGAGGAACCUCUCAGGGGAGCUUGUUGAUCUUUCUUCAAAAUUUGUUAAUAUUUCUUUUGUCAUUAUGCUACGACUUGUUUCUUUAGUUCCGUGAUAUUGACAGAAUGGCAAUCCUGUUAGGUUGUUGAAAGUGGUGGGAAGAACAUCGAGGUUGCAGUGAUGACAAAGAAGGAUGGUCUCCGGGAACUCGAGGAGGCUGAGAUUGAUGAAUAUGUUGCCGAGAUUGAGGCAGAGAAGGCUGCAGCGGAGGCUGCAAAGAAGGGAGCCCCGAAGGACACCUAAUUCCUGUCUUGUGCUAUGCCUCCCUUCAACACUGUGUGCCUGGUUUUUAUGUUCCAUAGCACCAUCUUAACUGUUUUAGAAGGAUGCUAGAUCUUUAGGUGAAACUAUGCUCAGGUGCCUGUGGCACAAAUGAUGUAAUGUGCUCAUCUACAUGCCUUCUAUGGAAAUUUUCAAUUUCGUCUACUGUGUCAUCUGGACAGUAAUAGUUCAAACGUUUUCUACUUGAUGAUUCCUUGUCAUGACUCAUGCAUUCUCUUGGGCCUGGGCCGGGGCCUGUGGGCUGUGGGAUUCUAAGUUUUGCAGCCUGAGAAUGUUCGUCUAAUUUGUUGAUGAGGAAUAGGAUGGUCUGUUUUUGCGUCUUUUGCUUACUUAAAAAAAAUGAUGAGGAAUAGGGUGGUUUUUUUUCCGUCUUUUGCUUACUUCUUCAGCGGUGCUGUGAUUGAUUCCACGGUAUCACUUGGAGCCGGUUUUAUCUGGCUGAAUCUUACGCAUCUGGGCACUAUAUAUUUAUAAACAGGAUGACACCAUGGUUUCUCCUAGUCGGUCUGGCUGUGUCAUUUCGGUUGAUGAUAAUCUCAGAUGAUAACGAUGGUGCUUUCACCGUAAUGUCACGCUGCUUCACAAUAUUUUCAGUUCAAGGCGAUAAUUAAUGCUGCUGCUUUCUUCUACCUGUCGUAUUUGCCCUGAAGAGUCAAUCAACUAGUUGCGAGCUGUAGUCUCUUUGCUUCUCUCACACAGCACGAGCAAAACCUGGUGCACAGAAGAGAUCACUGGCGACUUUGCUCCCUCCGCUACACGUCAGAGCACCCUAUUCUCCUCCACUUUACAUCACAGCUGAUUGCAGAAGCCAUAACAGAAGGUGCAAAUUUGCAGUAUUCUUCAAGUUUACAUCACUGUGGAUUUCUAGAACAUGGAAAAAAGAAUAAAUUUCCAUACAUUUUUGUCUGCCUGUUAUGAAGUUAUGAUGCAUGAAGCAACCAACUCAGCUGCCGCGGGCUCCGUCAGGCAGUGGACUCUGUUUAUUUACUGAUUAUUAGCACGUCAGGUGAGGCCAGGCGUCAGGGGCUCAGGGCAGGGCAUCAUCAUAGGCUGCCAAACGUGGCCUGCUGUUUUUCAAAGAUGGAUAACACUAAACCUGACGUGCCCGAAAACAUGAGCGGCUAACUACUUCGGAGAAAGAAAACGGCAUGAUGUGAAGGUGAUGCGCUCGCAUGUUAUGCUAUGCUAUGUACACCAGGCGUGCACUCAAACACUAGCAGAGCGUCAGCCAUGUCUUGGUUUCUCUGGGCUGCUGGGCACGCACGUUUCAAGUGUCACCGGCUCAUCAUCCAGUCCCCACGGUGAAUGGAUGAAGACCUGAAACUCUUCGAUGUGUGAGUGUGAGUCAUUUUUUUUUUGGCAGGGAUGAUCUGGGGUUUUGUUAAUUGUUUCCAAGAGCGACAUGUCGUACGUCAGAUGAGAUCUCUGAAUCAGCAGAGAGACUGAAUUUCUGAUCCCCUGCUGUGGUGAAGAACCAUGGUAAAUCCUGGAUAUGCGUCUCACUGUCUCACUGAUAAUGUCUAGACGAAUUUGAAGGCUAUAUAUAUAUAUAUAUAUAUAUAUAUAUAUAUAUACAGAUCAGUAGGGGUUGACUCCUGAUUAGAUUGAAAAGAAAAAAAACAGACAGUUCACAGUUACAGCCCUGUUUGGAACUAUGAAUAUCUCCUGAUCUCUCUACAGGGACAUGAACUGAACUAUUUCUUCUGCCUUAUCAAAAAAAGAAAACCGGCCUAUUUCUUCCAAAACACCCCUGCGUUCUACACAAGCUUUUAUUAUGGAACCUUUUAUUCGUAGUGAGCGACUGGAUUAGCAUAUGUGCAGAACGGAGGAACAUACCCCUGCUUGCACUGUUGUGCCUGUUGGCGAGGUUGGGACGUAGCUAUCCGCUGGGCACUCGAUCGGGCCUUAUUACACUAUCAUAUCGACAUGACCGGCACCGGCUGAGGCCUCUUGAACGCUAAUAUGACCACCUACUCACCAUGCACGAUUUAACCCUGCUGCCACUUUUCUAGAAACGCAUGAGCGGAUACCAGCACCGAUUGGAUACCUUGGCACGCACCUUUUGGCCAGCGUGACAUCACACACACAACAACAACAACAACAACAACAACAUUCUUAGCCUGGCCAAUUAGCGGAUAAAGCAAUGUGAAAAGAGACCACUGAUCCUCAGGUCUCCACACGUUGGAGCCCAACCAACUAGAGUUGACCAGGAGGCUGCCAUGGAACAUGGAUGGAUCAUAUGGACUGGAAGCAGUGGGGAAGGAGGUGUGCCCCAUUAUAUAUAAAAAUAUAUUUCUCAUGUGAGAUCGAAUAGGCACCAAGCUUUUGUUGUUAGUAUAAUAAUCACCUCUUCGUUCAGGUUAAUCCGUGCCGAUUAGCAGGGAGCGAUUGAUGACAGUUUUAAUUUGCCAAAUCAGGAAAAGGGAGGUUUCGGAUAAGAGCGAGGACGAGGAGGGUUGGGCUUCGGUUCGGCAAGCGGCGGGGCCCGGCCCCACGCUCGGGGAUGGCCCGCGUGGGUAACCCCAACGGAGCCUGCCAACC
RNAcentral lists this long non-coding RNA (24904 nucleotides) under Sorghum bicolor (sorghum). Its description in RNAcentral is "long non-coding RNA (SBIC_LNC003719)". The stretch from base 10385 to 10493 matches the Rfam family "MIR5565 microRNA precursor family". Lineage: Eukaryota; Viridiplantae; Streptophyta; Magnoliopsida; Poales; Poaceae. The record is from RNAcentral.